UAUUUUAAAAAAUUGUAAUAAAUUCUUCGAAAUAUUUUUAAAAUUAAUUAAAGGAAUAAAAUGAUUUGUAAGGGAAUGAUUUUUAGUUUUUCAAUUUUGAGCUAAGUAUAGCCUCAUUGAUUGAUUUCAGAAGAUUUUUAUUUUUUACUUUUGGCAAUGUUAAAAUUAUUUGUUCGUGAUGUUUGUUAUCAAACUUGAUUUCUUAUCAAAAUUUAUAUUUUCCGUCAUAAUAUGUAAAUUGUGUGAGGUGUUGCAAAAUUUAACAGUUCCAUUUAUAACUAUUUGAAAUCCAGUAUUUUUUUCAGCUAACCAAGAUGUUUCAAAGCAUAAUUGAUGGGUUAAGGAGGAUUUCAGAAACAAACAUUGACCCUAAUCGAGUUAUUGAAGUCCAUACUGAUGACUAUAUAUGCAGUGACGUCAUUUCACGGCAUGAUUGCUUGAUAUUGUAUCGAACACAAGAGAAUGGAACUCCAAAGCUUGAUAUCGUUAUGCAAAUGGACAUAAAUCAUACAUUUAAUAAAGCCUUUAGGUGAUCUA
Non-coding RNA from Parasteatoda tepidariorum (common house spider), 537 nucleotides. Lineage: Eukaryota; Metazoa; Arthropoda; Arachnida; Araneae; Theridiidae. The record is from RefSeq and is a predicted model, not a curated record.